AUGGACAGAGACAUACAAAACAUGGGCAGGGCAAGCCGGGGAGAGGGGAGGAGGGAAGGCGAAGGCAACACCAAUGGACACUCAUCAGGGGCUGGACAUGAAAAAGAGACCAGGACAAGCCAAUGGACAGUGAUCGCAGGGGGGAGAGGGGAGGGGGCGCGGCGGGAGGGGGUGCGCCGGGCGCCGGGCGCACGCUGCCGGCGGGAGCCGGGGGGAGCCGGGGGGCGCCGGGGGCCGGGGCCGGGGGGCGGCCGGGGCCGCGGGGCGGCUGCGGGAGGGGAAGGGGGAGAGGGGCGGCGAGGGGCCGGAGCGGGCGCGCGGGGAAAGAGGAGGCAGGAAAGGGAGCAAGAGGGGAAAGAAAAAGCGAGCGAGCCGAGGCAGCGGCAGCGCACACGCUCCCACCCCCGCUGGAAAAGCAAACACAUCAGGGAAGGCACACGGGGAGGGCGGCGGGGCAGGCUAGCCUCGGGAUGCGCCGAGGAGGUGGGAAGGCAGGUAGGAGCGGAGACCACCCAAAAAGGAAGGGGGGGCCCAGCCGGCUCCCGGCUUCCCCGUUCGCCCCCCCCCCACCCCCCCGAGCCGCCGAGUCCCCUCCUCCCGGGAGCCGGGGCCCGGCCCCGAGGGACGGCGGCGGCGAGGAGCCGGGGGGCGCCGGGGGCUGGGGACGGCGGCAAACUUCGGCGGGGAGCGGCGGGCCGGGAAGCCGGGAGGACUUUGGGAGCGAGGAAGAGCGGGCGGAGGAGCGGCGGGAGCGGGGCAGGGGGCGGCAGGGGCCGGGACCCCCCGGAGCCCCCCGACGGCGCCCCGUACCCUGCCCGCCGGCAGAGCGGCGAGCGAAAGCGAAAGGCGCGGCGGGGCACAGCCGGAGGCGGCGAGGAGCGGCCGGAGUCGGGAGGAUGCGGCGGCCGCAACUUCGCCCAAAGCGCGCCCGCACCGCCCGGGGCCGGGCCCGCAGCAGGAGCCGCUCCGGAGCCAGCCGUGCCCGCGCUCGAGGCCCGGGGCCGGCCGCCCGCAGGAGCGAGGUGGGCGCGGGGCGGCGAGGAGGGGCCGGGGGCCGGCGGCAGGGGCGCGCCGGGACCUGUUGGAGCCGGGCCGGGGGGGCCCCGCUCCACGCCGGGACCGUCCUCCCGCGGCGCCGCCGCCCCCCGGCUGCCCCGAGGCCGGUGCGGGGCCGGGAGCCGCGCUCAGCCCGCAGCCCCGGCCGGGCACCGCGGGGCCGGGGGCGGCCGGGCAGCGCCUGCCGGGCGCCGCGUUUCGGGGGGAAGCGGCUCCAGGUGGCAGCGGGCGAGCGCUCCGGGCUCCGAGGCUCCACGCGCUGUCGUGGGGCUCGGCUGUCGGAGCUACGCGGACGUGUGCUGUGCGCGAAACGUGUGUAAACAGGCGUGCGGGACUGUGGAGAGAUCCGUGCGAUUUGAUUUAUCUGUAAUAGCACGUAUAAAGCUUUUCAAGGUGGCUGCAAUGUAA
Molecule: long non-coding RNA, 1464 nt
Filed under: Anser brachyrhynchus (Pink-footed goose)
Lineage: Eukaryota; Metazoa; Chordata; Aves; Anseriformes; Anatidae
Description: lncRNA (ENSABRG00000014009.1)
Source: RNAcentral